AUUGAACGCUGGCGGCAGGCUUAACACAUGCAAGUCGAGCGGAGAGAGGUAGCUUGCUACUGAUCUUAGCGGCGGACGGGUGAGUAAUGCUUAGGAAUCUGCCUAUUAGUGGGGGACAACAUUUCGAAAGGAAUGCUAAUACCGCAUACGUCCUACGGGAGAAAGCAGGGGAUCUUCGGACCUUGCGCUAAUAGAUGAGCCUAAGUCGGAUUAGCUAGUUGGUGGGGUAAAGGCCUACCAAGGCGACGAUCUGUAGCGGGUCUGAGAGGAUGAUACGCCACACUGGGACUGAGCCACGGCCCAGACUCCUACGGGAGGCAGCAGUGGGGAAGAUUGGACAAUGGGGGCAAGCCUGAUCCAGCCAUGCCGCGUGUGUGAAGAAGGCCUUAUGGUUGUAAAGCACUUUAAGCGAGGAGGAGGCUACUUUAGUUAAUACCUAGAGAUAGUGGACGUUACUCGCAGAAUAAGCACCGGCUAACUCUGUGCCAGCAGCCGCCGUAA
This 501-nucleotide ribosomal RNA is filed under the name uncultured bacterium. RNAcentral's name for it is "partial 16S ribosomal RNA". It matches the Rfam family "Bacterial small subunit ribosomal RNA", at positions 30 to 523 of the family's 1533-position model. The record is from RNAcentral.